GCCCAGGUGGUGGAAUUGGUAGACACGCUAUCUUGAGGGGGUAGUGUCCUUAUGGACGUGCGAGUUCAAAUCUCGCUCUGGGCACCA
This 87-nucleotide transfer RNA is filed under the name Cycloclasticus sp. RNAcentral's name for it is "tRNA-Leu". It matches the Rfam family "tRNA". From Rfam's summary of the family: Transfer RNA (tRNA) molecules are approximately 80 nucleotides in length. The record is from RNAcentral. Lineage: Bacteria; Pseudomonadati; Pseudomonadota; Gammaproteobacteria; Thiotrichales; Piscirickettsiaceae.